UACAGAGGGUGCGAGCGUUGUCCGGAAUCACUGGGCGUAAAGGGCGCGUAGGUGGUGGCUUAAGCGUGCGGUGAAAGUUCGACGCUCAACGUCGAAUCGGCCACUGAUACUGUUGGGCUUGAGCACUGUAGAGGCUAAUGGAAUUCCGGGUGUAGCGGUGGAAUGCGUAGAGAUCCGGAAGAACACCGGUGGCGAAGGCGGUUAGCUGGGCAGUUGCUGACACUGAGGCGCGACAGCGUGGGGAGCAAACAGG
This 253-nucleotide ribosomal RNA is filed under the name uncultured bacterium. Its description in RNAcentral is "partial 16S ribosomal RNA". It matches the Rfam family "Bacterial small subunit ribosomal RNA", at positions 524 to 776 of the family's 1533-position model. The record is from RNAcentral.